GAGUUACUAGUAAUCGCAGAUCAGAAUGCUGCGGUGAAUGCGUUCCCGGGUCUUGUACACACCGCCCGUCACACCACGGGAGUUGGAGACGCCCGAAGCCGAUUAUCUAACCUUUUGGAAGAAGUCGGCGAAGGUGGAAUCAAUAACUGGGGGGAAGUCGUAACAAGGUAGCCGUAUCGGAAGGUGCGGCUGGAUCACCUCCUUUCUAAGGAGA
RNAcentral lists this ribosomal RNA (214 nucleotides) under Clostridioides difficile. RNAcentral describes it as "partial 16S ribosomal RNA". It matches the Rfam family "Bacterial small subunit ribosomal RNA", at positions 1329 to 1533 of the family's 1533-position model. The record is from RNAcentral. Lineage: Bacteria; Bacillati; Bacillota; Clostridia; Peptostreptococcales; Peptostreptococcaceae.